Long non-coding RNA from Callorhinus ursinus (northern fur seal), 471 nucleotides. RefSeq lists it as uncharacterized. NCBI's taxonomy places the organism in Eukaryota, Metazoa, Chordata, Mammalia, Carnivora, Otariidae. The record is from RefSeq and is a predicted model, not a curated record.
GACAGAGGGAGAGGGAGAAGCAGACUCCCUGCUGAGCAGGUGGGGCUCCCGCGGCAGGUGUCCGACAGCUCAGUAUUGGAACCAGAAGUUCAAUGGUGAAAGCUACAGCCACCGGAUGCCAGCAACAGAACUACAGGGGCAACCAGACCUUUUUACAAGUGCUACUAACAACGCGUCGACUCUCCUUCCUUUGGCCCUGCCACCGAUCACGGUUGCCAUCGCAUGUGCUGAUGGAACCACCAAUCCUCUGAUGUGGUUUCUGAGGGAAAGCAGCUGUUUGGCCUCAUGUUUACGAACACCGGGGUCUCCUAUCGCUUAUACUUGUGUUUGAAACCAAACACCUUGGCCAGUCUGUGUCGACCAGGGGUGGUACAAGAAGGCACUGUCCAUCUUGGGUGAGUUUUUGUACCAUCACAAAAGAGAAGACAGUCUUAUAAAAGAAAAUUAAACAACGCUGAGAGCCUAAAACCA